AACUGUGUUUAAUUUUUGUAGGGGGCCAUGAGGAGAAAGACCCGGGGCAGGAGAGCCCUUGGGCAGGAAGGAGUUAAUGAGCCUGGGGAGGCAGAGGGAGAAGGGGUUUAAGGGCUCCACCAGCUUACCUUCCCAGAGCCCUCCUGGCAGGCUCUGAGGACGUCACUUACAAUGGAGUUGUUAGCAUGAGAAAGAAAGCCUUUCUACCCCUGGAUGUACUUCAGUGGGAACUGAAAGUGUCUGAGAAAUCACGGUUCAGGCUUGUGCCAGUGGGUGCAAGGAGUGGUUCUUAUGGAGGAGAAAGCUCAGUUCAUUUAGACUUGGCAUAGAAAUCGGAUUCCAUUGUUUCCUGGCGUGAACAUUGAUAUGGAGAUUCCUGCCCAUCCCCCCAGCCCAUCAAUAGGUUACCCCAUUACAUGGGUCGCAUAUGCUUUUCUUUUUUCUUUCUUUCUCUUCUUUUUUUUUUUUCCAGCUUCCUUUGUCCUCUGAGAAUCAGGCUCUCCGUAGAGGAGCAGGAUUUGUCAAGUUACCACCCUGUACAUUUUUCCAGCUCUGUAUCUUCAGACUUGUUGACCUGGGUGUACUUGAGCGGAAAUGAAGUCAUCCGAAUGCUGAAUUAGAAUAAUCGCAGGCCUCCAAGAAUGAAAUGGAAGCAGAGAUUAAAUGGUAGAGGGAAAGCUGGCAUUAAUAAGCAGCAGGAAAACUUUGCAUAAAAUAAAUAGGAGAUUUGAUAGAUUGAAUUUGUAUUUGCUAUUUCCAUUUUUCUCCACUUCGUAUUGUCUUCCUUGAGCUGAGUUGCUAGCAGAGUGGGGUGUGAUUUGCCCUAAGUCCACAUACCUUCUGCAGCCAGGGUGAUGGUCCUUUCUUCUCCAUGGGACAUUGGCGUAACCAGGACGUUUCCAGGAUGGAGGAAUCUGGGUGGAGGGGCCGUUACUGUGAAAGGUUGAUGAUUACUGGUUCCAAAGUGCAGUGGUUGGGGAUAGGGGGUGGGCACAGAUGGAAGGUAACACACAGCAGGCAAACAAGAAAUAUUAUUGAUGGAUUCCUGAUGGUAAGGAGAAGAACUAGGCUGGAUAAAGGUAGGGCGACCAACUGUCCUGGUUUGCCUAGGACUGAGGGGUUUCCAGGAACUCGGGACUUGCAAACGAGAAUAAGUUGCUCACCCUAAAUAAAUGGGAGUUGGGAGAAGUCGAGACGCUUGGCCUCCAACUCCAAAAGGCAUGAAACCUUUGACCACCUCCAGGCAGAUUUAAGUAUUCCUUCCUGCAUGUUCCAGAACACUUACUUCAUGCCUAUUUACAAGCUGCCUUCCUGAUUUAACUCAGCCACUGGGGUCAGGAGCCGGAACAGGCCAGUAAGUGUAGUGUUACCUGAAGUGGCCUGCGGAAGGCAGAACAGACAGACAGACACACAGUCCUGGGCAAGGGCAGCUCAUCAUUGACUUGGAGCGUAGGAUUCCUCUGGGCUCCGAUUUGGGCUCCUCCUUGGGGAUUAUUUCCACAUCUUUUGAAAAUAAACAGUUCUGCCCCAUGUAGCAAAAGAGUGAGCUUCGUGUAGUUAAAGAGCAAAAUAAGGAUUUAAUUAUAUUAAAAAAAACAACAACCCAGCAGAGUGGUUAGUUUACAGGAAGUCGUUUUUAGGUGGUCUGCAGUAGAAAAUGUAAUUUGCAGAAUCAGAUUAGUUGUAAAUUAGAGAUUUUUGGUAGCUGAGGUCGCUAACUGUCCUUUCUAAUUGGCAGCAGACGUAAAUAUUUUCAGACCUCCUUAUUGUUUGUAGAGUGUUAUUAUUUGAAAAAAAAAAAACAAUUUAAGGUGCUUUUCCCUUCAGGAAAUAUAAACGAGCGUAUGGAACGACCAGAGGCAGUCUUUCUGAUCUUAUUGUCAGUGUUCUUAGGGAGCGGCAGAAGGGCAGGGUUAGCGCCAGAGAGAGCCGUGCUGGGCGGGUUUGUGGGGGAGCUCGCCGAUUCUCUGAUUUAAAAAAAAACCAGAAAAA
Long non-coding RNA from Orcinus orca (killer whale), 1992 nucleotides. RefSeq lists it as uncharacterized. The transcript is spliced from 2 exons. Lineage: Eukaryota; Metazoa; Chordata; Mammalia; Artiodactyla; Delphinidae. The record is from RefSeq and is a predicted model, not a curated record.